RNAcentral lists this ribosomal RNA (380 nucleotides) under uncultured Halobacteria archaeon. RNAcentral's name for it is "bacterial SSU rRNA". It matches the Rfam family "Archaeal small subunit ribosomal RNA", at positions 471 to 851 of the family's 1478-position model. Lineage: Archaea; Methanobacteriati; Methanobacteriota; Halobacteria. The record is from RNAcentral.
UAAAACCAGCUCUUCGAGUGGUCAGGACGAAUAUUGGGUCUAAAGCGCUCGUAGCCGGACAUGUAGGUUCUUGGUUAAAUCCGACAGCAUAACUGUCGACCUGCUGGGAAUACCGCAAGUCUUGGGAGCGGGAGAGGAUAGAGGUAGUCAUAGGGCAGGGGUGAAAUCCAGUGAUCCUAUGGCGACCACCGAUGGCGAAGGCAUCUAUCUGGAACGUCUCCGACGGUGUGGGGCGAAAGCUAGGGGAGCGACCCGGAUUAGAUACCCGGUUAGUCCCAGCCGUAAACGAUGUUCGCUAGGUGUCAGGGGCGGUGCGACCGCUUCUGGUGCCGUAGGGAAGCCGUGAAGCGAACCACCUGGGAAGUACGGCCGCAAGGCUG